AUACGGAGGGAGCUAGCGUUGUUCGGAAUUACUGGGCGUAAAGCGCACGUAGGCGGAUUGGUCAGUUGGAGGUGAAAUCCCAGGGCUCAACCCUGGAACUGCCUUCAAUACUGCCAGUCUAGAGAUCGGAAGAGGUGAGUGGAAUUCCUAGUGUAGAGGUGAAAUUCGUAGAUAUUAGGAGGAACACCAGUGGCGAAGGCGGCUCACUGGUCCGAUACUGACGCUGAGGUGCGAAAGCGUGGGGAGCAAACAGGAUUAGAAACCCUAGUAGUCC
This 274-nucleotide ribosomal RNA is filed under the name uncultured bacterium. RNAcentral's name for it is "partial 16S ribosomal RNA". It matches the Rfam family "Bacterial small subunit ribosomal RNA", at positions 523 to 796 of the family's 1533-position model. The record is from RNAcentral.